AUAUAUAUAUAUAUAUUAAAAUAUUAAUACACGAUUUGAAAUUGUUAAAUUAUGCGAGCAAACGAAGAUAAAAAGAAAUCGCGCGAAAUUAAAUUGUACUAGAAAAACUGAGCAUCGAUCAAUAUUGAUGGAAAUAGUCUCCUCUCAUAGAUAUGAAACAAAAGAGAGAGGGAGAGAAAAAAACGAAUGGACAUUAACUAUAUAUAUCUAUAGUCUUUGAAAUACCCUUUGAAUUUCUCGUUUCGAGUUUCGGCGCUUUUUAUAAACAAGAAAUGAGAUAUGCAUAAUGCUUGUCUCGUUUACAAAAAAAAGAAAACGAGUGUAAUAAUAUCGAAUAAUUACGAAUAAUUAUCGAUAAAGUACCGUUUAAACUUGCUGCGAUAGCAGCGAAAUCUAUGGUCAUGUUUCGAAGCGAUCCUUUGUAAAAUGAACGAUCAAAUUUUUUUUCCUUUUUCUCUGUAUAUAUUUUCCUUUUCUACUUUCUUAUUUUGCUAUCGUUUUUUUUUUCGACUAUACGAAAAAAGAAACAAUUGGUGUUUAACUUACGCGAGUUGUGCGGACGAUCGAAAGCGAGAUGGAGCAUUUGUUUGACGAUAUCAGUUUAACCUCUAAAGUGCAGAAGUACAAUCGUUGUAAUAUCAAUACGGAUUUCGACUUCGUGUUAAAAUUUAUCUUUCCGUCUUAUAAACACUCGACAAUGUUAUUUCAAAGAAUUGUAAAUUGAUAAAUUUCAUUUUGAUCUAAAAUUAACACUCCUUGAGAAUAAUUAAUAAAGUGAAUUCUGCCACAGUAAAGGUUAAACUAGAAACAUCUCGUAAUAGACAAAUAUAGAGGUUGCUUCACGUUAGAAUUUCUGCUCCACGAAAUUUUAUGCUAUUUCUUUUUUCCAUUUUUUUCUAUAUACACGUAUUAUAUUAUACAUGCAUUUAUAUGUAUGUAAUAUAACCAGAAUAAGCAAGAUCUUGGAAAGAGAAUCUUGUCGCUAGAGUACAACAAUCGAUCGAUCGAUUCAACUGCGAAGCCUAUCUCUAACGAAUUCGUGCACGCAGCAUUAUUUUGUCUCUUAUUUUUCCCUUCAGUCGGCGAACGCGGUCUUAGGUCGUCGAGAGGAGGCUAGCAAGCAGCCUGAGCUCGACACACACAAAGAUAGCUUUAUGACUUGCCUGCGUCCUUCCAGGAAGAACAAUCGGUCAAACCGAAUAUUCGAUUCGUCUUCUCGGUCUUCCGUUCGUCCAUAACGCGGAUCAUGCGCGUGUCCCACGCUAAAUUACGUAUGAAGAAUUAUACUAUAUGAUCCCGUAUACGUGAUACUCGUAAACGAAUAUUUAAUUUUUUUUUAACUAAAAUCCAGAAAUAUGCGCGUUCUAAAUCAAAUUGAUAUAAUAGCAACGAUCAACUUUUUCGAUAUCUACAAUAAAAAUCAAAUUUUACAUUUAAAAAAAAAAUCUCUACCCAAAUCUUAAUCUUUUUUCAACAAAGUACAUAUCGAUUUCAUUCAUUUGAUAUUAAAUUAAAUUCUGCUAAGUAUGUAAAAUAUAACGAACAAUAUUUGUCUAAUCAAUAUCCGGAAAAUUAAAAAUGUUAAAUUCAAAUUAUUACUUUUAUGAUAUUUCUGGAAAUCAGCGAGCACAUUCGUCCACGAAUGCACGUACGAAGCCUAUUGUGAGGCAGACGGACGAAUAAUUGGUCGAACAAUCGACCGGCCAUGAUGUGGGACACGCACACGUAACACACGGACCCACUAGGUCUCUCUUUUUUUCUGCGGGGAUCGCGUGACGAUCAUCGACAUCCCUCGAGAAGGCAAGGCAAGAGAGCCAGGCGAGAAAAUCGAGCCAAAGUGCUCUCCAUCGGAUGAAGGAAGACCUAUUGCAAUGACCUAAGAGUCGGUUCGGGAACCAGCACAUGUUUCCAGAAACGCGCGUACUUCUACUAUUCGUAAUUUUUUUCGAAGUCGCGUGCCUCUUUUUUAGUCUAUCUACCGAGCCAGGAAAAAAAAUUCCUUUUUUUUCUUUUUUUCUUUUUUUUUUUUUAUUAAUUUUUCUUUUAAAAUUCUUCUUGUUACUGGCGAAUCAGAAGCAAGGCUGUGUUCCGCGCCCUCUUGCGUUUGAUUAGAGAAUGGGAAAAGAUAGAGAGAGAGAGAGAGAUAACAUAGAGAAAAAAUCGAAAAAGAGAGUCAGAGAGGGCGCGACAGUCUAAGGACGCCUCGUUCCGUACCGCCAAUUAUUCGCUAUCUACUAGUCAAAACCCCUUAUUACGG
RNAcentral lists this long non-coding RNA (2257 nucleotides) under Apis florea (little honeybee). RNAcentral's name for it is "uncharacterized LOC116415580". The record is from RNAcentral. Lineage: Eukaryota; Metazoa; Arthropoda; Insecta; Hymenoptera; Apidae.